This is a long non-coding RNA of Acinonyx jubatus (cheetah), 4582 nucleotides long. RefSeq lists it as uncharacterized. The transcript has 3 exons. NCBI's taxonomy places the organism in Eukaryota, Metazoa, Chordata, Mammalia, Carnivora, Felidae. The record is from RefSeq and is a predicted model, not a curated record.
CCCCCCCCCGGGCCUGUCUGGGAGUCUGCCCUACGCGCGCCGAGCGCUCGCCAUCCGCCCGGGGCUGGCCUUCAAGGCCCUUGGCCGCCCAAUCGACUUCCCUCCAGGGUUCCAGUGCGAAGAAGUGGGAAUGUCACUGGAAACUGUUAGGCCUUUCCUCUGCCCUGCUACAGACGACCGCAGGCGGGGAGGGAGGAAGCAUUGGCCGGGCUCCUGGCUGCCAGCGGCGCCCCGCCUCUCCUGGCCCGGAGAAUGCGUUGCGGGGCAGAAACCUCUACCCCCGCCACACAAUGGCACCUAUCUAGCUACCUGCCUGCCCCAUGCCGGCCUCCGUUGCUCCAAUGGCCAACCCUUGGCCACCAUGUUUGACCUCAGAUUUGGAGGCUUCCAGGGGUAUGGGCACAAUGACUGUAUAUAGUAAGCACUCAAUAAAUGUUAGCUGUUAUUAUCACGAGGCACAUCAGAUCUCCUCCGUGGGCAUCUCAGUCUCUGGCACACAUUUAUCCCAGACCAAUCACCGCAUAGCUGGGGUCCCCAAGAUCCCUACCCCUGCCCCCUCUGAGCCCUGGAGCCACAGCCCUCCACCCUAACACGCCUGCAGAAAACGUGAGGCCUCUGUGGUUCUUCCCCCCCAGGGUGUUUGUCCGGGCCUGGGCCACUGAAGCCUGGAGCAAACGUUGCACUCUGCCUCGGUCAGCGCGGGGGCUAGGGAAUUUCGGUUAGAUAAGAGCAUCCUGGGACAGGGGGUGGUGGUUCAUAGUUUCAAAACAAUAAAAAAAAAAGUGGGGGGAACCCUUCGGUGAGGAAGAGAGACGAGAGAAACAGAAAGUGCGUGGGGGUGGGGAUCAGGGACAGGCGGAGGCAGGCGUGCCAAUCGUAGAUGAGUCAGAAGCAGCGGCAUGACACCUUUUUCUUCCAGAAACAAUUAUUUGAGUAGGCUUUUAAUCGCCAGGCCGAAGGGAAUGAGCUGUCCGAGACAGCGCCACCAAAUACAUGGACCACGCCGGGAAGCCGGGUUUUAGUGUUUGACCUCCAACAAAUAGAAGCCCGUCUUCCUGAUUCCUCUGAUUAUCAGCAGUACUAAAAAUACUGUUUUUGUUAUUUUGCAAACGACGUUUCAGAGGGCCCUUGGAGCCGGGCAGGAGCCACGCCCAGGACCGCGAUCACCUGCUGCGCAAGCGGCCGGGACUUGGUCCCCCUCCUCUCCUCUGCCCUCCCCCACGCCCCAGGCUGGUGGCUAUUCUCGGAUGUGGACCCCUUUAAAAAUGACAAAUGUCUUAUCAAUACAGACCAUCCAUCCUCUCUUGCUUUCUCAUCAUUUUUCGGCGUGAGGAGGGACCCAGGCGCAGGCCCGGCGACGCGUGUCACGCGGCCUGCAUUGUACCGUAAUCGCCAAAACCUUGGCCUAAUUUGCAGCUAAUAUAUCUCGAGCGAAGGAGUCGGCGAGAAAUCAGUGGCCCAAGGAGCUAGAUUUAAGCUUUGUUGGGAUCGGAAAUUAAGGGACUGCAAGGGGGAUGCGAUUCAUAUUAUUCUCCCCUCUCCCCCUCCCACACACGACCAUACGUCUCUCCGCUCGGCCUGCAGGGACGCGGCCCUUAUCUCUCCGCGGCCUGUGUCCCUGUCGCUUGCUUGUCUCGCUCCGGACCACUGUGUCUGGGGCGCCCUCCGCCUGGUUUCUCCUCGCCCCCGGGAGGAGGCGCUGGUGUCCGGGUCGGCCUCUGGUCCCUCCCAGCCGGCGUCCCGGAGCCCCCAUUCACAAAGCCCGGCUUGGAGGCGACACCACACACACACACACACACACACACACACACACACACGCACACACACCCCGAAGAGGGGAGUUUGAUCUUGUCUCAUUGGCGUCUCGGGCCUGAAAGGAAAAUCGUUUGGGUAAACAGCCAAGCUUCCAGGCUUAACGCCCGGCUGCCGCCCCCGCCCCUCCGCCCCCUCCCGCCUCCCCCACUCCCCUUCCACCCCACCCGCCACCCACACUCCGCUCCGCAGCCGGGCCCCGAGCGAGCUCCGCGCGCCCGGGCGGGAGCCGAGGGCUCCCCGGGUUCAAAGGGCCGCAGCCCCGAGGGAAUGCCCUCCUCGCUGUGCCCCGAGGGGCAGAAGCGGACCGCAGGGCGGUGGGACCGGCCCGGGCCACGAUGGUGUUCAGUGACAAGACCCAAACUAUUUGCAAAACUCCAGGACAUGCGUCUUUCUGCGGACAAAAACAGACAUUAUCGAAAGCCUGGAAGGAAUCUUUGACUUUCUCCCAUUUGAACAAACAACAGCUUCAAAGUUGUCGACAGUGUACUAAGCAAAGAUACGAGAAUAUCCCCAGAAAGGAAAAUACGCCACGACGAAGUUGUUUCCUGUAUGUGAAUGCUGAGAUUUAAGGAUAUAUCGUGGCUCCCCUUUAACUCACAAAUAAAUUCUUUUUUUUUUUUUGAACAAUUGCUCCCUUUGAGAUUUGCAAAUAGUUCCACUAGUUUACAUAGUUCUUUUUUCCUCCUUCCUUUUAAGUAUACCUCUUAAGUAAGCAGACACUUUAACUUGCCUUCUUAUUAGACAGCUUUUUCUUUAUUGCCUUUUCAUAGCACAGCUAUCAAAAAUAAGAUAAUAUGCACGAUCUGGGACCUAAUCAGCUUUCUAGCUGAGUUUAAAGAGUCUAGAGGCUGUUUAAAGGUAGCUCUGGUUAUGUGUGCGGGCUUUACUGCCUUGUUUGCUCGACCACAUUUUGAUGGAGAGGGUAAUGUGUUUGCUAGAUAAGGCAAAAGGGACCAGCCAAAAAAGCAAGGCUCUGUUUGAUAAACCCUGACAUAUUUAGCCAUUUUUCUCCCACAUGAAAGGAAGCUUUAAAACUCUAAGAAAAAUAGAGGUGUCCGUUCAAGCACGUUAAUGUUGAUCAAGACAAAAAAAAAAAAAAAAGUAAAUAAAGAAAAUGGGCAUCUUUUAGUCUAUUAAAUUAAUUAGCUCCAGAGCUUAUCACGCAGUUGAAAAGCUGGAUAAAAUACAAGUCUGUUUCUCGUUGUUGUCAUUUGAUGUGAAGGGUGAGUUCUUUAAGUCAGUGUACGUGGAAAAGACAGUUGUUCUGUUCAGCUUGACUUGCCCUGGUAGAAGGUUUGAACCCUGUAUGAAGGAGCUCAUUAAGCAAAGUUAAACUCUUAUAAGGCCGAUCAGCAUGGACUUGGGAUGAGAACUCAGUCUGAAAUUAGGGUUGAACACACAUGAUGACAGUCUUUGUUAAGUGGCCUAUAGCCUGAAAACAGAGUUAAAAAGCCAGAAUCAAAAUAUGUCACCGGACAUCUACCGGUAACUAGAGGUCCAUAGAUAGCUUUACAAUCUGGAAUGAUGUAAAAAUGUUGGAGGUGAACUAUUGAUUAUCUUACAAUAAUUUUUCUUUUCUAGAAAAAGUAAAGGAAUAAAAUGUCAGAAAGCUUCACAAAAUAGAGCUGUCUCUCAAAAUGAGACUUGAACUGGUGUAGGUAUAAAAAUAAUUUGGGGCUAAAUUUUUAUCCCAUGGUCACUUUCAGUUAAUGUAGAAGGAAAUAUCAAUCCUAAAUCAAUAUCCUAGUAAAAUUUUCUAUUUUUUUUUUCUCUAGAAAAGACACUUUUCAGGGUGCCUCGGUGGCUCAGUCGGUUAAGCAUCUGACUUCAGCUCGGGUCAUGAUGUCACAGUUCGUGGGUUCGAGCCCCGUGUCGGGCUCUGUGCUGACAGCUCGGAGUCUGGAGGCUGCUUGGGAUUCUGUGUCUCCCUCUCUCUCUGCCCCUCCCCUGCUUGUGCGUGCGCACUCUCUCUCUCUCAAAAUUAAAUAAACAUUUUUAAAAAUUAAAAAAAAAAGAUAUUUUUCUGAUUUCUUGUUUUUCUAAAUCACAAGUAUUUUUAUUAUUUUAUUUUAUUUUAAGAUUUUAUUUUUUUAAGUAAUCCCUACACCUGAGGCAGAGCUCAGACUCACAAUUCAGAGAUCAAGAGUCAUAUGCUACACUGACUGAACCAGCCAGGUGCUCUGAGAGUGGGUUUUUUUUCUUGUUUGUUUUUUAAGAUUUUAUUUUUAGGUAAUCUCUCCACCCAACCUGGUGCUUGAACUCACAACUUGGAGAGAAAGAGUCGCAUGCUCUACUGACUGAAUCAGCCAGGCGCCCCUAUAGAACGUUAUAAAAUAUAAUCACUUGAAUUUUUACAACUGUGUUUCUUCUAUAUAUUAAUCAUUUUAAACAUUUUUUAUGGCUUAGUGUUAAUAAUCUCUAUGAGUGUAGAUUUUUAGAUGAAUUUAAUGUCAACUAGGGAUUAAUGUGAAUUAAUUAAAUUGACUGUAUCUUCUUUAAUGAGAAAAAAAGGAUUUAGUUUUAAUACUGAUGAUCUUAAUAAAGCUUCUCUCUACUUAUCUGUAUUUUCUCAACAUUAGGAAUUAUUUUUAUUAGAAGGUGAAUUAAUUUAAUAACGGCAGAGUGGGAAAACUUGAAAUAAAUCAAGUGAUUGCAAACUGACUUUGCUAUUGUUCUUGAGGCUGUGUAAUCAAACCGAAUAACUUUCAAUUAGGAAAGACCCAAUUUGUUGAAGCCACUUAAAAAUAAAAACAUAAAUUGGAGUUCA